CCACCCCACCCCCUCCUUAUACCAAGCGAGGACUACAGCGUAGGGGCCAUGAGCGCGGGUGAUAAGGAAGGGUCAUCACCGAUGUGUUCAUCGACUCGCCUGAUACUGUACAUGCCUUGCCCGUCUCUCACGCACUCCUCCACCAAAUCUACGCCCGCCGGUGCACGUGCUGUGUCUUGUGCACGCAUGGCUGAGAGACAUUCAAUUCACGUAGAGGCCCUCUCCGAGCCAACCUGUUCUUUUCCUUUCACCGCUUCCACCGGCAUCAGCUCGGCGUGCACGCCCAGGCACACGUGCAGGCAGACGCGAAUCACCCCGCUACCCACCCACUCACCGCCUUUCAGCAUUCCAGUCUAACUUUCCACUCCAGAUGCCCGCAGGGAUGUCCGGCGCCGCUGGAAAGACACUCGCCAACUUCAAGGCGCCGUACCCGGAACCGACGUCGCAGCAGCGCCGCUAUGUGAUCUUCCUCGACCCCAAGGGCUACAGAAAAGAGCUGAACGACUACAAGGUGGAGCUGAUCCCUGGCCGUGUCGAAAAGGUGGAUGGCGCCAACGUAUACCGCAUGGGCGGCAGCAUCGAGGAGAGGACGAUCGAUGGCUGGGGCUACACCUACUACGUCGUGACACUGACGACGAUGUCGGGGACGCUGAUGAUGCCCCUCGGCGAUGCAGCGCUCAAGAGGCCGCGCUUCGUGGCGAUGAGCACGAAUAACCUCUACCGCUACAACAGUCAGUUGCCCAUCGUGGUGUACACGCCGAAGGACGGUGAGUUGCGCUACCGCAUCUGGACCGUCAAGAGCACCGGCAGCGGCACGGCCAAGAGCAUCAACGCUAGGGAGAUGUGAGCGGCCGCGUGCUGCAAGAGCCGCAAGGCCUCCUGUACGUCUGUGUGUCACCAUGUCGUCAUCCCUCUCCCGCAGCGCCUCUCGCGGCUGUGGAGGCGCCGGCCGUCCAUGCCUCCUACCCUUCCUCCCACACAUAUUUCGAAUUCGUUUAUCUCGUGCCUCUCCCCUCCCCCUUCGUUGCCAUGGUCGUUGACCUCAGAGACACGGUUAGUCUGCUCGGUGCGCUUGUGCACAGGUGUUGGACAAAAUCUGGUCUCGCAUGUGCCGCCCCAACAACCCCUCGCCUUGCCUUCGGCCCCUAUCGCCGUCUGACUCUUUCCUGUCCGCUGUCUUCCUCGCCCGCUACACACAUUCGAGACUCGGCCGCCUGGCAUGCAGAAUGACGAAGGGCAGAGAUGGGUGGCGAAGAGGCUGAGGGAGUGCGUUGAUGCGUCUCUGCGUGCGCGUGUGGGCUUGCGUGAUGGCGAGUGGCGGUGAAGACAUGACUACCCACGGGGAGGAGCUGCACACAUGUGCACAGUGUGGCUUCGAACUAUUCUUGAUUGAGCUUGCAUGAUAAUGCAGCUCCACAAACAUACGAAAAAACAAUUGGACCCAUCAGUCACACGUGCAUGUGCGUCUCUGCCUGCGAACGAUCACGAGGCACAAGCAAGCAGCAGGAGAUGGCAGGAAGUGCCACGUGUCU
This 1532-nucleotide unclassified non-coding RNA is filed under the name Leishmania donovani. Its description in RNAcentral is "gene:LdHU3.15.0680(CDS-product:ecotin_putative)". Lineage: Eukaryota; Euglenozoa; Kinetoplastea; Trypanosomatida; Trypanosomatidae. The record is from RNAcentral.